Molecule: ribosomal RNA, 200 nt
Filed under: uncultured bacterium
Lineage: Bacteria
Description: partial 16S ribosomal RNA
Rfam family: Bacterial small subunit ribosomal RNA
Source: RNAcentral
UACGGAGGGAGCUAGCGUUAUUCGGAAUUACUGGGCGUAAAGCGCACGUAGGCGGCUUUGUAAGUAAGAGGUGAAAGCCCAGAGCUCAACUCUGGAAUUGCCUUUUAGACUGCAUCGCUUGAAUCAUGGAGAGGUCAGUGGAAUUCCGAGUGUAGAGGUGAAAUUCGUAGAUAUUCGGAAGAACACCAGUGGCGAAGGCG